Molecule: RNA transcript, 1461 nt
Organism: Carcharodon carcharias (great white shark)
Lineage: Eukaryota; Metazoa; Chordata; Chondrichthyes; Lamniformes; Lamnidae
Gene name: phosphoinositide-interacting protein-like
Exons: 4
Source: RefSeq, a predicted model, not a curated record
GGGGAAGGGGUGGGGGUGCAUUCCAGAGACGGACCCUUGGCCUCUGCAGAGAGAGAGAGAGAAAAAAGGGGGAAGAAAGCUGGAAAAGUGGCGAAAUAAAGUUUAAAGAUGGCAUCCUCUCCAGAUCUAAUGAUGAAGUCAAGUUCAACCGAGAACGUGGAUCUGAGCAUGCAAUUAUGUUCUGAGGCCAAAGAUCUGCUGACCAGCCAUACAGGAAGUACCUACUACAGCAGUUCCAGAAGUGUAUCCCUUUGGACCUCAGAGCCACAGACUGCUUGGGAAAUUUACCACAAACCUAUUUUUGUCAUGUCAGUUGGAGGGGCUUUUUUCUUUUUGGGGUCCAUAAUGACUGGCUUAUAUUUUGCACAGAUCAUAAAGAAAACAUGCAACGUACUGGGGCCUGCAUUUCUGUCCAUUGGGAUGAUGUUUCUUGUAUUUGGAUUAGUCUGGCUCCCCAUCCUCAAAGAAAAACGUAAGCAAAAGUCCACGUCAAGGUAUUUAAGGAACCAGAAACCACCAUCUUUCUUUAACUUGUGAAACAAAGCCACACCACAGAGAAGCUUACUGCUAAAGUACUGACUUCUGGGAGUGGAUGUCUCCUGGGUUCACUGUAAUUCAUGUUUACAAGGCCCAUGGGUGUUAAUGGAGAUGUAUGACACCACACUCCUUAUGUAUUCUUUGGUAUCGGUGAAGCUGUUUAGAAAGAAAAAGAACUUGCAUUUAUAAUACACCUUUCAUGACAUGACGACAUUCCAAAGUGCUUUAUGGCCAACUAAGAGUGAUCACCAUGAUAAGUCAUAAAACAUGAAAUAAAGUAACAAUGUGACACUUAAUGAAUUUUAUUAGCUCGAUGAUAAUUGAAGAAAAUGGAUACCUUCUUUCAGCAGAUAUCUUACAUUUUUUCAACAUUUCUACCCAGUCGAUAUUUAUCAAAGAAUUUAAUCGUUUGGCUUCUUGGGACCAGCCAGUUCUGACUAUAAAGCUGUUUUUAGCAACAGACUAACGAAGGACCAAAAAUUGUUGCAUCAAAGUUUAUCAAGUUAUCUGAGUGAAGGUUAGAAUUUGAGAUUUCAUCUGUGAUUUCCACAGGUGGAAUAUGAAGGAGAAUCUGUUCCACUAAAUAAUGAAAGCUCUUUGUUUACUGAUUAAAUUUUACACAGAAUUUGCUUUCUUCAAACAAUGAAAGCUCCGAUACCUCAAAAACCCAUGGGAAAAUUGUCCGUCUUAAACUUGUAUUAACCCUGGAAGACUUUAUCCUUGACUGAGUUGCCUUUGCUUUUUAGAAGGACAAUAUUGCUUACUGCAACCAGCAUCAAGCCAGCAUUGAAUGUUUUUCUCAAGAAGUCACAAUACAAGAAGCGUAGCCGUGUAAUAACCGCACAUGAUUAUGUUUGAGAGGGUUUGUUUACUUUUGUACCAAUGUGUAAUCUAUUAAAUUCAAUAUUGUAUUGUGCAUGAAGA